CCUUUUCCGUUUCACGUAAACUGUGUUUACCUUUAACUGUAGCGUUUGCUCUUGCAUGUUGAUAUCGUUCGCCAGUCCUACGGCUGUAAAUUCAUCCCAUUUCUCAAGAUUUCGAGAACAUGGUUGACGUUCUCGGCUGCCUGUUGGUUGGUACUCGUUGGCCUCUCGAUCGCCUUAUCUCGAUUCUUGGGGAAAUAAGAGUUGUUUUGCAUAGUCGAGAGAAAAAAAAAAAUGGAUCGACGUUUACGGUGUUUGGUGCUAUAAUUUUUGGUGCUAUACAAACUACAAAGUUCAUGUUAGGAACUAAUAUUCCGCGAUCGAUUAUCUCAGCUCGAGGGUUGAUUCGAAUAAAUCCUCGCGGUCCAUCCUCGUAAGUUAGCGACAGUCCCAGCUAGUUUUGCGCGAUGCUUGAAAUGAAUUUCGAAAUAACAAAUCUCUGUGGAAGCGUACGCAGAACGACUAGAGGUGUGUCUGGUAUGAUAUCGAAUAAAAUUGACUCGUGAUAAACACGUUGAUCGCAGCAGCGCUUACCGUUGAAAGCUUCUUUUAUAUGAAAAUUCAGCUCAGGGCGUUCCCAUCGGCGCCAAGUUCCGUCGUACAGGUGCGAGCUUACAGGUGUUGGUGCUCCUGCUUGAUAAGAAGCAUACCCGUGACGUCAGAUCAGCGCAGGUAGAGUAUAUGAGUCGGCCCGGAGAGACAUCCACGUCACUCGUUCUUGAACCUCUUCGUUCGUUUGUUCUGCAAAAGUUGUUCGUCAGUCUUCAUUUCUUCUCUCUUCUUUCUCUUUUUUCUCAUCCGUUCCACCCACCCGCUCGCUCUCGUUCAUUAACUCUCUCGCUCAUUUCUUUUCUCUUUCUUUCCUCUUAUUCAUCGGUUCGUCGUACGUUUCUCGUUUUCGGCUAUUUUUCUACUUCUUGUUCAUCGACGAGGACAUGCAUCGAGGACGAGGAGAGACCAUCGAGCCGGAAUGCACGUUCAUCCGGAUGUCUAUCGCGACCAGGCGUAUCGUGGUACCGGGGAUACCGAUCAGGCUCGAAUGGUCGAACAAGGACGUCGGGAUAAAGAAGAAGAAGGAGGAGAAGUGUUAACGACUCUUGGCACGAGCUAACGCACGGAGGUUGUGUUUACCGCGCAAUCAGAUGGCGGCGCUAAAGAGGAAGGUGGCUGCUCGCACCUUCCUGAUAACAAGUGAAGCUGCUACGCUCCGCUACAGCGACAAUUUCUGCCUCCCACUUCGCUAUUUUCAUUUGGUUUACCGAUCUGCUUGGUUCGUUUCUAAAUCCCGUACGACUCGUUAAACAGAAUUUCAAUCUUUCGAUCGAAAAUAAUAUUUCGGAAACGAAUUAAUAUUCAAACGUUAUACACACAUAUGCGAACAUUGAUACGAAGCAACGGUUACAAGAAGUGUAACGUGCAGAUUCUUUUUGGAGCCUGGAUACAAAAUACGGAGAAUCGAUUAUUUUUUACAAAUUGUCACGAAGGAAUUAAAGGAAGAGUAAGAAGAGAAAGCGUGUGCUAUGAAGAGAGCUAUCCAUCGACAGUAUGGUGAUAAUAGACACUGUCAUGGAGUUGCUCUCUUUGUGGACGCCGCUAAAUUCAACGUUUCCCCUGACUUCGUUUAUAUAAUGCUCUCCUGUAACCAUUCGAUUUCGAAACAUAGAGGUUCGGUUGCUAUUAUGAAAUUUCAAUCAGUUUAAAACACAACGAUGUAGACAAUAAAAUAUUUUUAACACUCGUUUACUACUCUACUUUUGCGUUUUUCCUCCUUCGUCAAUUUUAAUAACCAGAGCUUAUAACUGAAAACGAACUUGGCUCUUCCGAAGUAUUCGUAAACCAAGGAUCAGACAGUAAACGAAAGAUUUCAGACCC
Long non-coding RNA from Hylaeus volcanicus, 1869 nucleotides. RefSeq lists it as uncharacterized. The transcript is spliced from 3 exons. The record is from RefSeq and is a predicted model, not a curated record. Lineage: Eukaryota; Metazoa; Arthropoda; Insecta; Hymenoptera; Colletidae.